RNAcentral lists this ribosomal RNA (2088 nucleotides) under Amycolatopsis keratiniphila. RNAcentral describes it as "bacterial LSU rRNA". It matches the Rfam family "Bacterial large subunit ribosomal RNA", at positions 1 to 1882 of the family's 2925-position model. Lineage: Bacteria; Bacillati; Actinomycetota; Actinomycetes; Pseudonocardiales; Pseudonocardiaceae. The record is from RNAcentral.
UGUGGUCAAGUUGUUAAGGGCACAUGGUGGAUGUCUUGGCUUCAGGAGCCGAUGAAGGACGUGGGAGGCUGCGAUAUGCCUCGGGGAGCUGUCAACCGAGCUGUGAUCCGAGGAUUUCCGAAUGGGGAAACCCAGCACCAGUUAUGUGGUGUUACCCGCAUCUGAAUAUAUAGGGUGUGUGGAGGGAACGCGGGGAAGUGAAACAUCUCAGUACCCGUAGGAAGAGAAAACAACCGUGAUUCCGUGAGUAGUGGCGAGCGAAAGCGGAAGAGGCUAAACCUUGCACAUGUCAAGCUGUCAGGCGUUGUGUGUGUGGUGUUGUGGGACCCGCCUUGGAAGAUCUGACAGUCUUCCGGGUUGAUGUGCUGGUUAGUGGAACGCCUUGGGAUGGGCGACCGGAGUGGGUGAGAGUCCCGUACGCGAAAACCAGUUUCAGAGACCUUGGUGGUGUUCCCGAGUAGCAGCGAGCUCGUGGAAUUUGCUGUGAAUCUGCCGGGACCACCCGGUAAGCCUAAAUACUUCCUGAAGACCGAUAGCGGACUAGUACCGUGAGGGAAAGAUGAAAAGUACCCCGGGAGGGGAGUGAAAGAGUACCUGAAACCGUGUGCCUACAAGCCGUCAGAGCCCGAGCACAUCCUUGUGAUGUUGAGGUGAUGGCGUGCCUUUUGAAGAAUGAGCCUGCGAGUUAGUGCUGCGUGGCGAGGUUAACCCGUGUGGGGUAGCCGUAGCGAAAGCGAGUCUGAAUAGGGCGAUUGAGUCGCGUGGUCUAGACCCGAAGCGGAGUGAUCUACCCAUGGCCAGGCUGAAGCGUCGGUAAGACGACGUGGAGGGCCGAACCCACUUAGGUUGAAAACUGAGGGGAUGAGCUGUGGGUAGGGGUGAAAGGCCAAUCAAACUCCGUGAUAGCUGGUUCUCCCCGAAAUGCAUUUAGGUGCAGCGUCACAUGUUUCUCCACGGGGGUAGAGCUACUGGAUGGUCUAGGGGCCUUACCGGGUUACCGAAAUCAACCAAACUCCGAAUACCGUGGUGUGAGAGUGUGGCAGUGAGACGGCGGGGGAUAAGCUUCGUCGUCGAGAGGGAAACAGCCCAGAACACCAGCUAAGGCCCCUAAGUGUGUGCUCAGUGGGAAAGGAUGUGGGAUUGCCCAGACAACCAGGAGGUUGGCUUAGAAGCAGCCACCCUUGAAAGAGUGCGUAAUAGCUCACUGGUCAAGUGGUCCUGCGCCGACAAUGUAGCGGGGCUUAAGCACACCGCCGAAGCUGUGUCAUUCACACAUACAGAUCGACUCUGCUCUUGAAGUAGUGUCCAGUCGUGUGGAUGGGUAGGGGAGCGUCCUGCAUCCAGGGAAGCGGCGGCGGAAGCCAGUCGUGGAGGGUGUGGGAGUGAGAAUGCAGGCAUGAGUAGCGAAUGCAGAGUGAGAAACUCUGCCGCCGGAUGACCAAGGGUUCCUGGGCCAGGCUAAUCCGCCCAGGGUAAGUCGGGACCUAAGGCGAGGCCGACAGGCGUAGUCGAUGGAUAACGGGUUGAUAUUCCCGUACCCGAGCACGUGCGCCCAGGAUGAGGCGGUUGAUACUAACCACCCAAAGCGCCAUCUGAGACCCUUCGGGGUGGAGGGUGGUUGUGGAGCGUGGGAUCUGAUUCCGUAGUAGUCGAGUGAUGGGGUGACGCAGGAAGGUAGCUCCGCCAGUGAGUGGUAGUACUGGUGUAAGCGUGUAGACCGAAUGGUAGGCAAAUCCGCCAUUCAUUAAGGUUGAGACGUGAUGCGUAGCCGAUUGAGGUGAAGUAGAGUGAUCCUAUGCUGCCGAGAAAAGCCUCUAGCGAGUGCGUGCACGGCCCGUACCCCAAACCAACACAGGUGGUCAGGUAGAGAAUACUAAGGCGAUCGGGUGAACUGUGGUUAAGGAACUCGGCAAAAUGCCCCCGUAACUUCGGGAGAAGGGGGCCAAACACUCUGAAGUCCCGUGCGGACUAGGGGUGGGUGGCCGCAGAGACCAGCGGAAAGCGACUGUUUACUAAAAACACAGGUCCAUGCGAAGUCGCAAGACGAUGUAUAUGGACUGACGCCUGCCCGGUGCUGGAACGUUAAGA